This 23-nucleotide non-coding RNA is filed under the name Cricetulus griseus (Chinese hamster). Lineage: Eukaryota; Metazoa; Chordata; Mammalia; Rodentia; Cricetidae. The record is from RNAcentral.
UCAGGAAGUGGAGAGAACUGCGU